RNAcentral lists this transfer RNA (87 nucleotides) under Candidatus Hydrogenedentota bacterium. Its description in RNAcentral is "tRNA-Leu". It matches the Rfam family "tRNA". From Rfam's summary of the family: Transfer RNA (tRNA) molecules are approximately 80 nucleotides in length. Their secondary structure includes four short double-helical elements and three loops (D, anti-codon, and T loops). Lineage: Bacteria; Pseudomonadati; Candidatus Hydrogenedentota. RNAcentral also lists the same sequence under 1 other name. The record is from RNAcentral.
GCCGAGAUGGUGGAACUGGCAGACACGCAUGGCUAAGGACCAUGUGCCCGAAAGGGCUUGGGGGUUCGAGUCCCCCUCUCGGCACCA